This 75-nucleotide transfer RNA is filed under the name Candidatus Altimarinota bacterium. RNAcentral describes it as "tRNA-Asn". It matches the Rfam family "tRNA". Rfam says of the family: Transfer RNA (tRNA) molecules are approximately 80 nucleotides in length. Their secondary structure includes four short double-helical elements and three loops (D, anti-codon, and T loops). Further hydrogen bonds mediate the characteristic L-shaped molecular structure. tRNAs have two regions of fundamental functional importance: the anti-codon, which is responsible for specific mRNA codon recognition, and the 3' end, to which the tRNAs corresponding amino acid is attached (by aminoacyl-tRNA synthetases). tRNAs cope with the degeneracy of the genetic code in two manners: having more than one tRNA (with a specific anti-codon) for a particular amino acid; and 'wobble' base-pairing, i.e. permitting non-standard base-pairing at the 3rd anti-codon position. The record is from RNAcentral. Lineage: Bacteria; Candidatus Altimarinota.
UCCUCGAUAGCUCAGUGGUAGAGCAGUUGGCUGUUAACCAAUUGGUCGUAGGUUCGAAUCCUACUCGGGGAGCCA